UAAAAAAUUUUGGCGGUAUUUUAAGCUUAUUAGAGGAAUUUGCUCUGUGAUGGACACAACGCCUUAAUCUUACUUAAUUUAGUAAUUUAAAUCAGUUUGUAUACCACUAUAUUAAUUAUAUUGAAUAGUUAUAUUUAAAAUUUUUUUAAAAAAAAUAUAUUAAGUCAAGGUGCAUCUAAUAAUUAUGAAUGAAGUGAAUUACAUUAAUUUUAAUGUAAUUUUUUACAUGAAAAAAUUAAUUAGGAUUUAAUAGUAAAAUACUAAUAUUAUGAGUAUUUGAAUCAAGCUCUAAAAUAUGCACAUAUCGCCCGUCGCUCUCAGAAGUGAGAUAAGUCGUAACAAAGUAAAAAUACUGGAAAGUGUUUUUUAAAAUGAAAUCAUUUGAUGUUUCAUUUACAAUGAAAAUUUUGUUGUUUAACCAUUUUAA
RNAcentral lists this ribosomal RNA (427 nucleotides) under Ixodes scapularis (black-legged tick). Its description in RNAcentral is "partial 12S ribosomal RNA". Lineage: Eukaryota; Metazoa; Arthropoda; Arachnida; Ixodida; Ixodidae. The record is from RNAcentral.